This 873-nucleotide long non-coding RNA is filed under the name Homo sapiens (human). RNAcentral describes it as "HSALNT0369313". Lineage: Eukaryota; Metazoa; Chordata; Mammalia; Primates; Hominidae. The record is from RNAcentral.
CUAUCUUUCAACAUCUUUGCCCAACAUGUAGAAAUAUGAUGAAAAUUUCUACAUUAAAAUUCUGGUAGUCUCUUGAUGCAUGAAAGAAAUGUUUGCGGUAUGAGGGGAGUUGUGACCCCAGUUUGAAUCUUGCUUUGCCACUUGUAUAACCUGAGAAAGUUCCCAUCUCAUUUGGGGCCUCAGUUUUUCCUCUGUAAAAAUAAAGGGCAAGGUAGGCAUACCUCAUCAGCAGCAUGCCUCUGCUUCAGGGGAACAGGUUGACGGCAGUUCUGCGGUCAUCAACACAGGACUUUCAAGAUCACCUAGGCAUCAUUUUCACCCAGGGAAGCUGGAAGCAGGGAAAAGGGGAAGGAGCAUAUUUGAGAGGCUUUUGGAAGUCAGACCAGGAGAUGGGACACGACUUCCACUCACAUUCCAUCAGCUGGUACUCAGGCACAGAGACACAGCCAUCUGCAAGAAGCUGAGAGAUAUAACCUGCCCGAGUGCCCAGAAGAAAGGAACCCAGAAUUUGGAGAAUACCUAGCAAUCUCUGCCAAGGGUCAUGUUUCUGUAAUCAUUUCUUACUAUGCACAGAAUAAGAGUUGAGUUAGUGUUAGCUUCUUCCCUUCUCUCAUUCCUUUCUCACUUUUUCUCUUGCUAUCAUCCAUUCUACUAUAUAAAUAAUAUUUCUCAUAUCAGAUAUUACCAUUGAUCACAGAAUGAAAACUCUUCAAAUGAUAUCAGAACAGCAAAACAGAGAUGAGAUGAUUUUUAUAAAAAACAACCUCUUGCCAAGAAGGGAUUUAGGUUUACUUAUAUUUGUUAUUUUAAUUAUGAUCAUAAUUACCUCUUUUCUAAGACAUCAUUGGCUACAGAAUACUUGACUUGCUAAAC